Molecule: ribosomal RNA, 252 nt
Filed under: uncultured bacterium
Lineage: Bacteria
Description: partial 16S ribosomal RNA
Rfam family: Bacterial small subunit ribosomal RNA
Source: RNAcentral
UACGAAGGGUGCAAGCGUUACUCGGAAUUACUGGGCGUAAAGCGUGCGUAGGUGGUGAGUUAAGUCUGUCGUGAAAGCCCCGGGCUCAACCUGGGAAUGGCGAUGGAUACUGGCUCGCUAGAGUGCGGUAGAGGAGAGUGGAAUUCCCGGUGUAGCAGUGAAAUGCGUAGAGAUCGGGAGGAACAUCAGUUGCGAAGGCGGCUCUCUGGACCAGCACUGACACUGAGGCACGAAAGCGUGGGGAGCAACAGG